RNAcentral lists this ribosomal RNA (424 nucleotides) under uncultured prokaryote. RNAcentral's name for it is "bacterial SSU rRNA". It matches the Rfam family "Bacterial small subunit ribosomal RNA", at positions 355 to 796 of the family's 1533-position model. The record is from RNAcentral.
UGGGGAAUCUUGGACAAUGGGGGAAACCCUGAUCCAGCCAUGCCGCGUGAGCGAUGAAGGCCUUAGGGUUGUAAAGCUCUUUCACCGGUGAAGAUAAUGACGGUAGCCGGAGAAGAAGCCCCGGCUAACUCCGUGCCAGCAGCCGCGGUAAUACGGAGGGGGCUAGCGUUGUUCGGAAUUACUGGGCGUAAAGCGCGCGUAGGCGGGCUGUUAAGUCGGGGGUGAAAUCCCGGGGCUCAACCCCGGAACUGCCCUCGAUACUGGCAGCCUAGAGGACGGAAGAGGUCAGUGGAAUGGCGAGUGUAGAGGUGAAAUUCGUAGAUAUUCGCCGGAACACCAGUGGCGAAGGCGACUGACUGGUCCGUUUCUGACGCUGAGGUGCGAAAGCGUGGGGAGCAAACAGGAUUAGAUACCCCCGUAGUCC